RNAcentral lists this ribosomal RNA (502 nucleotides) under Dinophysis acuminata. RNAcentral's name for it is "partial Bacterial large subunit ribosomal RNA". It matches the Rfam family "Bacterial large subunit ribosomal RNA", at positions 1 to 520 of the family's 2925-position model. The record is from RNAcentral. Lineage: Eukaryota; Dinophyceae; Dinophysales; Dinophysaceae.
AAGUAGAAAAGGGCGUAUGGGGAAUGCCUAGGCUCUCAGAGGCGAUGAAGGACGUGAUAAGCUGCGAUAAGCUGCGGGGAUUGGCACAUACGAUGUAAUCCGCAGAUUUCCGAAUGAGACAACUCGGCAUGUUGAAGACAUGUCAUCCAGCAAUGGAGGCGAACGCAGGGAACUGAAACAUCUAAGUACCUGUAGGAAGAGAAAACAAUUAGUGAUUCCGUUAGUAGUGGCGAGCGAACGCGGAACAGCCCAAACCAUAUUAGUUACGGCUAGUGUGGGGUUGUAGGACUGCGAUAUCUGUUGCUUAACGAAGUAGAAUGUGUUGGAAAGCACAGCCAUAGGGGGUGAAAGUCCUGUAUACGUAAGUUUAAGUUAAUGGUAGCAGUAUCCUGAGUAGCGCGGGACACGAGAAAUCCUGUGUGAAUCUGUCAGAACCAUCUGAUAAGGCUAAAUACUCCUAGAAGACCGAUAGUGCACUAGUACCGUGAGGGAAAGGUGAAAA